This 253-nucleotide ribosomal RNA is filed under the name uncultured bacterium. Its description in RNAcentral is "partial 16S ribosomal RNA". It matches the Rfam family "Bacterial small subunit ribosomal RNA", at positions 524 to 776 of the family's 1533-position model. The record is from RNAcentral.
GACAGAGGCCUCGAGCGUUAGGCGGAAUCACUGGGCUUAAAGCGUGUGUAGGCGGGCCCGUAAGUGUCUUGUGAAAUCCCACGGCUCAACCGUGGAACUGCUGGGCAUACUGCGGGUCUUGGGCCAACUAGGGGCAGCCGGAACAAGCGGUGGAGCGGUGAAAUUCGUAGAUAUUCGGUAGAACACCAGUGGCGAAGGCGACUCACUGGCCCGUUACUGACGCUGAGGCGCGAAAGCGUGGGGAGCAAACAGG